GCAAUGCCAGAUCUGAGCCGCGUCUGCCACCUACACCACAGCUCACAGCAAUGCUCAAUCUUUAACCCACUGAGCGAGGCCAGGGAUUGAACCUGCCUCCUCAUGGCUGCUAGUCAGAUUCAUUUCUGCUGAGUCAUGACGGGAACUCCUUUUUUUUGCUUUUUAGGACCACACCUGUGGCAUAUGGAGUUCUUAGGCUAGGAGUUGAAUCAGAGCUACAGCUGCCUGCCUACACCACAGCUGUAGCAAUGCCAGAUCCAAGCCAUGUCUGCAACCUACACCACAGCUCUCAGCAGUACCAGAUCCUUAACCCACUGAGCAGGGCCAGUGAUAGAACCUGAAUCUUCAUGGAUGCUAGUCAGGUUCGUUUCCACUGAGCCACAAUGGGAAGUCCUAUUUUCUAACAUUUUUAAAGCAAACAGUGGAAACUUUAGAUUUUUACAGGUGUUAAAAUAGUUAACCAAGGAGCCCAUUAAACUGGAGUAGCUCUAGUGCUUUUGGUUGCCUUGUAAACCAAAACCUAAGCCAGAGCCUGUGCACUUGAAUCUAAGAAAAUAAAACUCAAGAAGAAGAAAUCUGAAUACACUAAGAGGCACACCGGGGGCAUGCACGCAGAAGAAAGGCCAUGUGAGGAUCCAGGAAGACGAUGGCUAUCGGCAUAGCAGAGACGCCUUGGAAGAAAUAAAACCUGUAGACACUCUGAUUGUGGACUUCAGCCUCUAGAACGGGGUGCCUCUGGGAAAAGCCCCUGAGAAGAUGGAAUGAAAUGAAACCAAACUCUCUGCAGUCAAGUGCUGCUCUGUUACUUCCCAGCUGUGUGUCACUGGUCAAGGUAGAAUUGCCAGAUGUAGAAUAUAAAAAUACCAGACACCAUCCUCUGCCCAUGGGAAGAGUUCUGCUUACCCUUUUUCUGACAAAGGAAUAUUAUAGAGACAAAGCUGGAAAAAACACGUCACCCUGUGAAGGAGCUUUGGUUCAGCUGCAGAGCUAAACUCUUACCUCUGUGCUAAAUUGGAAUUGGCCGUGAAUGAUUAUGAAAAUCUGCCGUUGCUGAAGGAUCUUAUUGGAAACCAAAGACAAGAACAGACAUUUCUUGGUGUCGCUAUGUCCUAGCAUGUGGUCUCUAUACUUGGGCUCCUGAAUGCUUUCCUGUGCCUUGUUAAAUGUAUUGUUUUUCUGGACCCCAUGCAAGAAAAAAAUGCUUAAAAAAAAAAAAAAAAAAAAGAUAAGCUCUGGGCAGUACCAUGACAAACUCCUGCAUAUACUUUUAACUUUUCUUCUGAACCCAUUGAAUCUGUGUAUUAAAAAUUACCAUUAUUUGUUUAAAAUUAUGUUAAAAACACUGUUCUUCUCCCUCUUGUCUAAACAUAUUUAGUCUCUUAUUUGAAUUAGCUUCAUAUCUUUGUUUCAGAAUUCGAUUUAACUUGAACUUAUACUAAACCUUUAAUCAAAU
Molecule: long non-coding RNA, 1453 nt
Filed under: Sus scrofa (pig)
Lineage: Eukaryota; Metazoa; Chordata; Mammalia; Artiodactyla; Suidae
Description: lncRNA (ENSSSCG00005029227.1)
Source: RNAcentral